This 587-nucleotide ribosomal RNA is filed under the name Fusarium sp. Its description in RNAcentral is "partial 28S ribosomal RNA". It matches the Rfam family "Eukaryotic large subunit ribosomal RNA", at positions 336 to 949 of the family's 3401-position model. The record is from RNAcentral. Lineage: Eukaryota; Fungi; Ascomycota; Sordariomycetes; Hypocreales; Nectriaceae.
GAUAGCGCACAAGUAGAGUGAUCGAAAGAUGAAAAGAACUUUGAAAAGAGAGUUAAAAAGUACGUGAAAUUGUUGAAAGGGAAGCGCUUGUGACCAGACUUGGGCUUGGUUGAUCAUCCAGGGUUCUCCCUGGUGCACUCUUCCGGCCCAGGCCAGCAUCAGUUUGCCCCGGGGGACAAAGACGUCGGGAAUGUGGCUCCCUCCGGGGAGUGUUAUAGCCCAGCGUGUAAUACCCUGAGGCGGACUGAGGUUCGCGCAUUCGCAAGGAUGCUGGCGUAAUGGUCAUCAGUGACCCGUCUUGAAACACGGACCAAGGAGUCGUCUUCGUAUGCGAGUGUUCGGGUGUCAAACCCCUACGCGUAAUGAAAGUGAACGCAGGUGAGAGCUUCGGCGCAUCAUCGACCGAUCCUGAUGUUUUCGGAUGGAUUUGAGUAAGAGCAUACGGGGCCGGACCCGAAAGAAGGUGAACUAUGCCUGUAUAGGGUGAAGCCAGAGGAAACUCUGGUGGAGGCUCGCAGCGGUUCUGACGUGCAAAUCGAUCGUCAAAUAUGGGCAUGGGGGCGAAAGACUAAUCGAACCUUCUAGUA